UUUUUUCUUUGUGUGUGUGGCUCUUGCUUUCCCUAUCAAACUGUCUUCAUCUUCAACCCACCAGUCUUCUAGCUUUUACCCUUCCAGGUCUCCCCCAAUCCCACUGGUGGGUGAGUGAGUGAGGGCUGCAUGUGGGCUGGUUGCCAGCUGAGGUGACACCAUGACAGUCCUUUUUUGUUGCCAAAUAAGGCUGUUGUGGUUUAGGAAUGGUAUUCUCCACUUUAGUACUCCUCUAAAACCACAUGCCACUGCUCUCCCCCCUCCAACUGCAGGCACACGUUGAGGUAAGAACAAUUUGCUGGAAAUAGCAAAAAUGAGGAAAAAAAUUAGAAAAUUAACAAUAACAGCAACAAUAUUAAUAACAAAAGGUUUAAGAAAAUAAAUUAUUCACACAGAAAAACUCUCAAUAAUAGACAAUAUCAGAUGGAUCCCUCCACCAUGUUUCUUGACCAGAGGAAUCCCUUCUCCCCAGAAGGGAUUCCCUUUUCUCCCACCCCAGCAAUGACGAGAGGUGGUAUAGAAUAACCUCUGUGUCCUAGCCAUGCCCCCUCCUGGACACUGCAAAGCAAAACCUGUCCUGGCUGGAACCAGGAUGCAGGGAAGGUAGUUUCAUACAAGAUCUGAAGUCCAGCUUAGGAUGAGCACAAACUCUUCAGAUAGAGGAGCCAGGAUACAGCCUGCUGGUGCUGUUACAUGCUGCUUUUCUGACCCACGUUUGACAGAAUCAGCCUUGCAUGCUGCUACCACCCUGAAGAAUGACUAGGCCUGUCUAAGACUACAUUUCAUAACAUAAUCCAGAAACACUUCUAAAGAGAAAACGUAUGAUUCAAUUAUUUUUUGCUUGGACAAACCAAUUUUCCACCUAGUCUAUUUCUACAGAACAGGAAAUCUACUAUUUCUACAGAAAAAGCUGCAGCCUUCCAUUCUCACCAGAAUAUCUCCUUCAUAUUUAAGAAACCCAAUCAGCAUUCUCUAAAGCCCUGAUUUCAGUGCAAGUUACAUGUCUUAAUUUUAUUUAAAAUGUCUUCUGGAAACUAUUGAACAUCCUCUCCUCCAGUUCCUCACAGUAUGUGUCAGGUAUACUCAGGAGGGGCCCAGGAAUACAUUGCAAUAUCAAAUAUAAGUGUGGUUGGGUUUAGUUGUGUUAACACAGCAAGGCCAUCCCAGCUGAAUUUGUCUUGAAGAUAAAGUAUAAGCAGCUCUGCUUAGUAUGCUUCACAGUUGCCUCUAACAAGGUUUGAAUGAAGGACAGAACAAAUACAAACAAAAUUAUCUUACUUCCUAUUGCACUUAAAUUUUGACAGACUGGAAACUGUCCAAAUUCUCCUACUAUUUUGUGGUUAAAAUAGGAAAAUCCAGUCUGCUACAAAUGGAGAACAGUCCAAUUAAACACAUUUAUUACUGAAAAAUUGUCAUCUCUGGAACUGCCUUGAAGCAUGAUGCAUCAAUAAAUUUGCCUGCUAAGGCAGCAUCAUAUAUAUAAUGACUAAAGUUUGUGACAUUAGCAAGGACACUUCCAAAAUGAAAAGUGAUACAAAUUGCUGCAAGCUUUGCUUUCUAAACAUCUGAUUGUUCCUGAAUAUUAUACAAAUAAAAUCAAUCUAAACUUACUCAUUUUUCCAACAUCUGUUAGGAAUUCUUUAAGAGUCUGUUAGUGGGGACAAUUUGUCACAUCACAAAAUGAUGACAUUUGCACUACAACGUGUUAACAUUAUACUAUUCUAUUGUCACUAUAUGUGACAAACAUGGCCCUACAACAACCUUUUGUUAACCUCUCUGAUACCAUGGACAAAUAUUUGACCAUGUACUGCAAAUAGAAUCAAUGACACCUUGGGACCGAAGCAGAGCAAGUCUGUUCCCUUGUGUAAGCCAAUGUCAGCCUACUUGCCCCUAAUUCCAUGGUACCAGGAAUGCCACAAGUGCCACAUGCUCUGAUCCUGCAACACAAACCCCCUACCUCCCCUCUGAACAAGGACAGCCUGAGAUGCAAGGAGUUACUUCAUUGCAAUAGUCAAGCUAAAUGAAGCAGUAACAGAGCUCUAUAGUCAACAACUUUAAGUGGGAACAGGGAAGGAUGAAUCCAAAUUAGCCUUCUAAUUAUUUUCUCUUUAACUUGACUAUUUAAACAAUUACCUAAGUUACACAGUAAAAUGCCCUGAAAAUUUUUAGUACUAAACAGGCUUGGUUUACUGCACCACUGUUCCUUCAACAAAAAAAAAAAAAAAAAAGAGAAAGAAGAAAACCGUUUUUUUUUCCCCAUAUAGAUAUAAUAAUGAUGCCUACUUGCAUGUCAUUCCUCGGCAUUAUUAGCGUGUGAUUCAGAAACUACAAAAAAUUACAGAAUUGGUGCUGCUUUUGUUGUCAGGAUGAGCUUCAUGCUGUUAGCAAAGAGAGAUGAGAGCCACCCAGUGCUUUGGGGUUUAAACAGCUGUUAACUAACAGGGUGGCUAGUAUGGCUGCAGCAUUAACCCAGGGAUCUGACCCAAAACACACUGAAGCUGCUGUGGCCUUGCACAGCCUUUGGGCUCAGUGACACCAUAUGGAGAACCCCUGUUCUCACAGCUCAGGAGUGCAGCAGAGAGCUCAGGACAAUGAAACUCCACUACAGGGAGCCUUUGCUGCAGGGGAGUGAUGAGGACUCAGGUCUCGUUUCUCUCUGCUGAAUUGAUUGCCCGAGCAAGGAGAUUGAUGCAGAAAUCAAUUCACUCAUGCCAGCUGGUUUCCCUCUAUCUGCACUGGUAGUAAGUUGAUUGGGAUAUUAGUUUCCUUCAGCUGAUGUGUCUUCCAUAUGUAACAUGCUGACCCUAGUGAUGCUGAACACACAGCAGCUAGAAAGAUUAAAUUAACCAAUCCAUAGGAAGGAAGGUAGGGGAGUAUGAGAGAGUAAGAAAACAAAGAAAGGCAAAAAACAGCAACCCUCAGCUCAUGCUAAGAGGCUUGCUCCUUCUAGAUAAGUGCAAUAAUAUAGAAUUUUAGAGAAAAGAAAGUGAAGAGGAAGAACAGUAAGAAAGAACAGUGUGAAAUUCAACAAUUAAAAUAUAAUUCUUGGGUUAUUACUUGAUUCUGUUUACUUUUCUCCAUUUUGUAGGCUCUUGCACCUCUUUCUUUCCAUUACUGUUAACAUUCCAUUACCUGUGAGAGAAAUUAAAGCAAAGGAUCCUUCCACAAUGGAUGAAAUUUAAGUCAAUUAAAUGGUGCUGCUUCAUUCUAGCUGAGAAAUACAAAUACAGCCUGUGUUCCCAGGGAGUCUGUAGACAGAACACUAUAAUUGAAGUUUUUACUGAUGUCCUUCAAAACAAUAUUUAAAAUGGAAAGAGAGCAAUAGAAAUCUCUAUUUAAAAAUUAUGAACUAUUUGUAAAUAAUAAUGAGCAAGAUUUUCAAAAUUCAUCUUCAGCACUUCUUAAAAUCUAAGAAACUUGAUCAUGCUUGUUUAAAAAACCUUUUAAGCAACUUAAGAGAAAAGGAUUGGUUUCCAUUUCAAAGGAAUCACCAAUUUUUACUGAACAAAAUUCUAGCUUAACUAUGCCAUGCAAACUUGGAACAAACAAGCAGAAUUUCUUGUAUGUAUCAAAACAAUUUUAUUAUACAGUACACCAAAAGAUCAGCUGCUUUAAAGUCAAAUGCUGAGACAUCAAAGGCGUAUUUUCAUGCAUGGAAAGGGUGAGACACUUGAAUACUCUCAGGUAAACUUCCAUAAAUUAAAAAUGAGACUCACUUGUUAAAAAGAACAUACGCAGUAUUGGUUAUGUACCAAAGGAACAAUGGCUUAAAUUUAAAAUUAAUCCUGUCUUAGAUUAGGUUGUCCAUUUAAUGAACAUUUAUUCAACUUCAAAUAACCAAGCAAAACGUUUGGGAUACUUUGUACUUUUUGCAUAUGACAGCACCAUCACCCACAUCUACAAAAAUGCUUUAAUAAACUCCAUAGAUACAAAAAGAUACCUAAAACUGCUUUUGCCAUGCAUCUUUCUUUCCAGAAAUAGCAUUCACUCAAGAUAAAUAACACUAUUUAAAGUACCCAAAUUGGUAAGAAACUUACAGUGGAAGAAAAACUGUAAUUUCUAAAUUGUGUUGAUAGAUCUACUUGUUAUUUCAUAUAAUUUUUCUGAAUUUAAAUACUAUUUAAAUCAAUAAGAAUCAAUACAUGGCUUUAAAAUUCUAAAAUGUAGAGACAAAUCCACAAAAUCUAAAUUACUCAGAGAAUAUAUCCCAAAAUUUCAACUCAUUUAGCUUUAUGGAAAGGAUAAUAGAAAUCCACUACUAGCAAGUACUAGUCAUUCAUCUUCCCUCUCAUUUCAUGUUUACAAACAAGGUGCUUCUUGCACCUGAGAAGCUUUUACAGUUACCCCUGAGCCACAACGUGCUGUUGGCCAGAAAAGCUGUCUGGUGAAGGAUCACAAGAUUUUCAUCUGAGUCUGAUGUGCUUCCCUAAAUAUCCACAGGUCUAGCCUAGUACAGACAUUCUCAUGUUCUCCUUAGAAGUCAUUCCCAUAAGACAGUAUCAAUUUCGUGUUAGAUAAAAGCACUCUAAAUCUGUUCAUCUUCUUUCAGCCCAUGAACCUCAGUGACUACACAGCAAGUGCACUUGCAUCAGAGAAAUAAGCUAUGCUAGAAACCAAGACCUUACAUGUUCCUGCUUUUGACUCCCAUGUUUUCACAGCUCUGAUAAAGCAACAGCUUGGAUUUUUGAGAUUCAAAGUUGCCUCCUGUGACAGCUUCAAACUCACUUGCUGUCUCUGCUUUCCUCAGAUUAUGUUUGUUUUCAAAAGAAGCUUCAUACAUUUAAAUUCCUGCAAUAAGUAGCAGCUUGUAAAUAUUUAAUUUCAUUUAAAGAAAAAAGAAUUCAUUGCCUAUCAGCUGCAAAAAAUAAUAAUGAGGCAUACUUGGCAAAGUCCCACCUCAGAAUAACAUCACCCAACUAUGAGAAUGACAUGCACUAAUAUUUGAACUUAACCCAGACAAUAAAAUCCACAGCAACAGACAUUGCAGAAGCUGUGUUUUGCUCACAGCUUCUUUUAUAUAUUAAAUAGAACACUGAAUAGAUUAUGAUUAUUUUUCAAUUACACUUGGAUGAUCAACAAAGUCAUUUCAAAUUCUUAUUAGAUGGCAUGUGCAGAUCACAGAACUGGCAAUGGAAUUUUGAGUAUUUCAUUUCUAAUUAUGAUUAUUUAAACUCACCUGGAAGCUUAACACAGAAGCCUCAAUCCAAAACUAACCCUGGGUAAGAUUUAAGGGAUCUCUUAACAGCUUUCAAUUUGGCUCAUUAAGUGAAAUAUACCACUUAGUUGAAAUACGCCAGUUUCAACUAAGAUGAGGUAUUUUGGGGACAAUUGUUUUUUUAACUCUGCUACUGCUGUGCUCUAGAGCUACAGGUCUUGCCAUGAACACAAGAUUUCCUUAAGCAAUGCCAUGCACUCUGUCCAAUUCUACACACAACUUGUGACCAAGUGUGCACAUCUCUUUUCACGGGAAUGGUGACUCCCAGACUGAUGAGGUGUCAGUGCCAUAACUAACCAUGUCUUUCAAGAUCUUUUUUUCAGAUGGAUGGGGAAGGUGAUGCUAUUCAAGCCCUCAGGGGUGAGAAAGCUGAUUUAAUACUGAGAAGGAAAUGAAGGGAGAAUAACAAAGGAGGCACACCGAGACAAAGGAUGGAGGAAGGAGGAAUGAGACAUACCAAAAAAAAGCAAAUGAGGAAGUAACAGAAACAAAGGAUAGCUGCAGAACUUGCCUAAAGGGGAGCAAAGUUUCUGACCGACUGAUAGCGACUGUGACAAUCAGGUUCACUUAAUAAAUACAAGUCUAUUUAGUGGCUACAAAAAAUAAAAAGCUUACCUAUUUCACGCAAACCAUCCACAUACAACAGACUGUGGAUCAAAGACUAUGAACUCUUUAUAUUAUUCCCUGGCACAGAGUCUUCGCCUAAAUGUGAAUUUCAGUGCUCUCAUCUCAAUGGGCUCAACUUCUGAGUUACCAACCCCUGUGAAACAUCACACUGGGCUGAGUUCUGCUCCCUCAGGGAAGCCUUGAUGUACUCCACAAAGUACAGCAAUGCAACAACCAGACUUUCUGGCAGUUUUUGCAAACAAGAUAAAAAUUACAUCCUUCUGUAGCUUUACAUUCCCAUCUUCAGGAACAGUCUCUUCACAGUUAGGAACAUUAGAGCCAAGAUGUAAUCCCUCACAACAGAUGGACAUUGAUUCAAUGGACAGGAAGUGGAGGCACUUCUUUUCAUGUAGCUGCAGUGUUCAAAAAGCGCCUCUUGCCUCAGAAACACACACAAAAACAUCCUGAGCAUUCCUGUGUGCUUGCAGACUGAUCAAACUAAACCAAGUCCACCCACUGAUGAAGAAACUUGUCUUCAAUUCUUAUGUUGUAGCAGUUCAUGUUAGUUUAAGAAGUGCCUUUCUGCAUUUAACUAAACCACAAGAAAUAUUUUAUAUUGAUAAUUUACCAGCUACCAACCCAGUUCUCACACAGAUUAUAUAUGGUCAUCUGAUAUCAGUCAUCUCCCUCCCAAGGGUUUUUAAAUCAAGAAAUGGAACAGAGGGCACAAGGUGCUUAUAUAAUAAAUUUUAAAAAUUCUCUCUUAGGGUUUUCGAGGAGCAAUGAGAUUAUUAAAAGGUUCAAAGCCUUGUAAAUGAAGCCCACUUUAUAAAAAGAACAUCUGGUUUAAAGCAGUUGGAAGAGGAGGAAGAAAGGCAGGAAAAGAAGAUUUUGUUAGUAGCCCUCAGUGCUCUGCCCAGUAGCCCUUGAGAGAUGCUGCAGGAAGAUGAACAUAUGUAUUUCAUUAUGGACUGAAAAUGUGCUCACUGAGCUACAUCCUACCAUUUUUAAGCAAAGGUGCCUGAUUCAGCCUUUAUGCAGGGAAUGUGUUCCUUCUGCAUCUUACCUCACAGAAGCUGACAGGAACCAACAACUUAAUCAAUGAAUCAGAAAGUAGGUUUCACAGAGCUACAAACUAGCUGUUCAGCUGAUCUGCAACACUUUUUUUUUUUUUUUCUUUGCUUCUCUUCUUUACAUGGCUUUAGACAGUGUUAAAUAAUAGUAUCUGUGACCUGAGAGAAAUUUAGUACAUUGAUAGUACUCAAAAAAUAUGGACACUUUUGCUCUAUCCACACAUCCUCUUACCUCUUGCAUGUGCUCAGCAGCACCUUGGUGGAUUGUCACAUACAAGAGAGGAAAGAAGAAACUUUGGAUUCUUUCAUAUUUGUUUUUCCUAUCAGGCUGGGAAACUACAAAAAGAAGAGGAUCAGAUCUCAGCUGACUCCACCAGUAUUGGCCUCCCUCGCCCAGGGAGAAAGAAAAGCUCAGAACCAUCAAUACUAACAGCUUCUCAAUUUUCUACCCCAAGCACCAGUAUGGUCAAGGACAACCAGAGCGUUCACUGUCAGUCCUGUAAUCUGC
Molecule: long non-coding RNA, 7402 nt
Organism: Taeniopygia guttata (zebra finch)
Lineage: Eukaryota; Metazoa; Chordata; Aves; Passeriformes; Estrildidae
Source: Ensembl